This 253-nucleotide ribosomal RNA is filed under the name uncultured bacterium. RNAcentral's name for it is "partial 16S ribosomal RNA". It matches the Rfam family "Bacterial small subunit ribosomal RNA", at positions 524 to 776 of the family's 1533-position model. The record is from RNAcentral.
UACGUAGGGUGCGAGCGUUAAUCGGAAUUACUGGACGUAAAGCGUGCGCAGGCGGUUCUCCAAGUCCGUUGUGAAAGCCCCGGGCUCAACCUGGGAAUGGCAGUGGAAACUAGGGGACUUGAAUCUGGCAGAGGGGGGUGGAAUUCCACGUGUAGCAGUGAAAUGCGUAGAGAUGUGGAGGAACACCGAUGGCGAAGGCAGCCCCCUGGGCUGAGAUUGACGCUCAGGCACGAAAGCGUGGGGAGCAAACAGG